CGAGCAGUAGCUCAGUGGUAGAGGUCCCGCUUCGCAUGCGGGAAGACCGUGAUUCGAUUCCCGGCUGCUUAC
This 72-nucleotide transfer RNA is filed under the name Toxocara canis (dog roundworm). It matches the Rfam family "tRNA". Rfam says of the family: Transfer RNA (tRNA) molecules are approximately 80 nucleotides in length. Their secondary structure includes four short double-helical elements and three loops (D, anti-codon, and T loops). The record is from Rfam by way of RNAcentral. Lineage: Eukaryota; Metazoa; Nematoda; Chromadorea; Rhabditida; Toxocaridae.